RNAcentral lists this ribosomal RNA (421 nucleotides) under uncultured bacterium. RNAcentral's name for it is "bacterial SSU rRNA". It matches the Rfam family "Bacterial small subunit ribosomal RNA", at positions 355 to 774 of the family's 1533-position model. The record is from RNAcentral.
UAAGGAAUAUUGGUCAAUGGACGCAAGUCUGAACCAGCCAUGCCGCGUGAAGGAUGAAGGUCCUCUGGAUUGUAAACUUCUUUUAUCUGGGACGAAAACGGGAUUUUUAUCUCAAUUGACGGUACCAGAGGAAUAAGCACCGGCUAACUCCGUGCCAGCAGCCGCGGUAAUACGGAGGGUGCGAGCGUUAUCCGGAAUUACUGGGCGUAAAGCGUGCGUAGGUGGUUGUUUAAGUCUGAUGUGAAAGCCCUGGGCUCAACCUGUGAAUGGCAUUGGAAACUGGGCAGCUAGAGUGCGGUAGAGGGUAGUGGAAUUCCCGGUGUAGCAGUGAAAUGCGUAGAGAUCGGGAGGAACAUCUGUGGCGAAGGCGACUGCCUGGACCAGCACUGACACUGAGGCACGAAAGCGUGGGGAGCAAACA